Long non-coding RNA from Arabidopsis lyrata subsp. lyrata, 754 nucleotides. RefSeq lists it as uncharacterized. The record is from RefSeq and is a predicted model, not a curated record. The transcript is spliced from 2 exons. NCBI's taxonomy places the organism in Eukaryota, Viridiplantae, Streptophyta, Magnoliopsida, Brassicales, Brassicaceae.
AGAGAUAAUUGGGUGUAAAGUACAACUUUAAGUCUAAAUUAGUUUUGUCACUAUCCAUUUAGUUGAGCAAACAAUAUAAAUAUUCCGCCCCGUAAACAGACUAAAUUAGCCCCACGCUCCAAUUUUUUUUUACACUUUUCAUUAUCUCUCAUCAUCAAAACCUUUGCAGGUCAUUUGUUCCCCAUUUCAUCUCUUGCCAUUAUUCUUUCACCGGUGAUUUCUAUAGCAAAUCAAAUAUCGAGAACCAUGACGGUGACGCGGCCGCCGUGUGCGGUAGAAGAUUUGAGGCCGAAGAGAGAUUGUGUGUUGGCCAACGGGAGGGAUCUUGGGUUACUUGGUGUUUGUUGACGGUGAAGAAAAGAGGUUCUUACGAUAGCGCUGGAGAGAGAGAGCAGUGGAAGCCAUUGAUGAAAGAUGUGCAGUUUACUUGGUACAUGUGUACAUAUAUUAUUAACGUUCUAUAUAUGUGUUUACAUUUAUACAAAUAUUAAUAAUGCUCUAUAUAUGUAUUUACAUGUAUACAAAAUGUUAAUAACACCUUAUGUAUCAUGUAAUAUACAUAUCUAUUUUGUAUAUAAAUGUAUUACUUCACAAAUGUUAAUAAUGCUCUAUAUACGUAUUUAUAUGUAUAUAAAUAUUAAUAAUGCUCUUUAUAUAUGUAUUUAUAUGCUCUGUUCGACAAUCUGGUUGCAGUAUAUGUUUGUAACAUACAAAUCUACAAAAGUUAAUAACACUUUAUAUAUAUGUGUACCUA